Molecule: non-coding RNA, 119 nt
Organism: Aulographum hederae CBS 113979
Lineage: Eukaryota; Fungi; Ascomycota; Dothideomycetes; Aulographales; Aulographaceae
Source: the annotation of a GenBank genome assembly
GGCAAGGUGGCCGAGUGGUUAUGGCGCUAGUUUCAGGCUCUGGUAUACACUAGAUUCCGAAAAGGUUUUCAAACUUACUAGUGGGUAAAACCGCGCGAGUUCGAGUCUCGCCCUUGUCA